This 335-nucleotide unclassified non-coding RNA is filed under the name soil metagenome. RNAcentral describes it as "partial contains 5.8S ribosomal RNA, internal transcribed spacer 2, and large subunit ribosomal RNA". The stretch from base 1 to 120 matches the Rfam family "5.8S ribosomal RNA", at positions 35 to 154 of the family's 154-position model. The record is from RNAcentral.
GAUGAAGAACGCAGCGAAAUGCGAUAAGUAGUGUGAAUUGCAGAAUUCAGUUAAUCAUCGAAUCUUUGAACGCACAUUGCGCCCCUUGGUAUUCCAUGGGGCAUGCCUGUUCGAGCGUCAUUUGUACCUUCAAGCUUUGCUUGGUGUUGGGUGUUUGUCUCGCCUUUGCGUGUAGACUCGCCUUAAAAUAAUUGGCAGCCGGCGUAUUGAUUUCGGAGCGCAGUACAUCUCGCGCUUUGCACUCAUAACGACAGCGUCCAAAAGUACAUUUUACACUCUUGACCUCGGAUCAGGUAGGGAUACCCGCUGAACUUAAGCAUAUCAAUAAGCGAGGA